This 503-nucleotide ribosomal RNA is filed under the name uncultured bacterium. RNAcentral's name for it is "partial 16S ribosomal RNA". It matches the Rfam family "Bacterial small subunit ribosomal RNA", at positions 28 to 523 of the family's 1533-position model. The record is from RNAcentral.
GAUGAACGCUAGCGACAGGCCUAACACAUGCAAGUCGAGGGGCAGCACAUGCGUAGCAAUACAAUGGUGGCGACCGGCGCACGGGUGAGUAACACGUAUGCAACCUACCUGUAAGAGGGGAAUAACCCGGAGAAAUUCGGACUAACACCGCAUAAUACCGAUUAACUGCAUGGUUGAUCGGUUAAAUAUUUAUAGCUUACAGAUGGGCAUGCGUAACAUUAGAUAGUUGGUGAGGUAACGGCUCGCCAAGUCAACGAUGUUUAGGGGUUCUGAGAGGAAGGUCCCCCACACGGGUACUGAGACACGGAACAGACUCCUACGGGGGGCAGCAGUGGGGUAUAUUGGUCAAUGGGCGAGAGCCUGAACCAGCCAAGUCGCGUGAAGGAAGAAGGUUCUAUGGAUUGUAAACUUCUUUUGUAAGGGAAUAAAAAAGCUUACGUGUAGGCUAUUGUAUGUACUUUACGAAUAAGGAUCGGCUAACUCCGUGCCAGCCGCCGCGGUAA